This 632-nucleotide ribosomal RNA is filed under the name Microbacterium sp. Ri1Ps_4629. RNAcentral describes it as "bacterial SSU rRNA". It matches the Rfam family "Bacterial small subunit ribosomal RNA", at positions 381 to 1022 of the family's 1533-position model. The record is from RNAcentral. Lineage: Bacteria; Bacillati; Actinomycetota; Actinomycetes; Micrococcales; Microbacteriaceae.
GCCUGAUGCAGCAACGCCGCGUGAGGGAUGACGGCCUUCGGGUUGUAAACCUCUUUUAGCAGGGAAGAAGCGAAAGUGACGGUACCUGCAGAAAAAGCGCCGGCUAACUACGUGCCAGCAGCCGCGGUAAUACGUAGGGCGCAAGCGUUAUCCGGAAUUAUUGGGCGUAAAGAGCUCGUAGGCGGUUUGUCGCGUCUGCUGUGAAAUCCCGAGGCUCAACCUCGGGCCUGCAGUGGGUACGGGCAGACUAGAGUGCGGUAGGGGAGAUUGGAAUUCCUGGUGUAGCGGUGGAAUGCGCAGAUAUCAGGAGGAACACCGAUGGCGAAGGCAGAUCUCUGGGCCGUAACUGACGCUGAGGAGCGAAAGGGUGGGGAGCAAACAGGCUUAGAUACCCUGGUAGUCCACCCCGUAAACGUUGGGAACUAGUUGUGGGGACCAUUCCACGGUUUCCGUGACGCAGCUAACGCAUUAAGUUCCCCGCCUGGGGAGUACGGCCGCAAGGCUAAAACUCAAAGGAAUUGACGGGGACCCGCACAAGCGGCGGAGCAUGCGGAUUAAUUCGAUGCAACGCGAAGAACCUUACCAAGGCUUGACAUAUACGAGAACGGGCCAGAAAUGGUCAACUCUUUGGA